CAGUCGCCGCGGGAAUACAGAGGGUGCAAGCGUUAAUCGGAAUUACUGGGCGUAAAGCGCGCGUAGGUGGUUUGUUAAGUUGGAUGUGAAAUCCCCGGGCUCAACCUGGGAACUGCAUCCAAAACUGGCAAGCUAGAGUAUGGUAGAGGGUGGUGGAAUUUCCUGUGUAGCGGUGAAAUGCGUAGAUAUAGGAAGGAACACCAGUGGCGAAGGCGACCACCUGGACUGAUACUGACACUGAGGUGCGAAAGCGUGGGGAGCAAACAGGAUUAGAUACCCGAGUAGUCCCUGUCUCUUAUAA
Molecule: ribosomal RNA, 301 nt
Filed under: uncultured bacterium
Lineage: Bacteria
Description: partial 16S ribosomal RNA
Rfam family: Bacterial small subunit ribosomal RNA
Source: RNAcentral